UACGUAGGGUGCGAGCGUUGUCCGGAAUUAUUGGGCGUAAAGAGCUCGUAGGCGGUCUGUCGCGUCGGAUGUGAAAACCCAGGGCUCAACCCUGGGCCUGCAUUCGAUACGGGCAGACUAGAGUUCGGUAGGGGAGACUGGAAUUCCUGGUGUAGCGGUGAAAUGCGUUGAUAUCGGGAGGAACACCAGUGGCGAAGGCGACUUCCUGGCCUGUUCUUGACGCUGAGGCGCGAAAGCUAGGGUAGCAAACGGG
This 253-nucleotide ribosomal RNA is filed under the name uncultured bacterium. RNAcentral's name for it is "partial 16S ribosomal RNA". It matches the Rfam family "Bacterial small subunit ribosomal RNA", at positions 524 to 776 of the family's 1533-position model. The record is from RNAcentral.